This 2034-nucleotide long non-coding RNA is filed under the name Nicotiana benthamiana. Its description in RNAcentral is "long non-coding RNA (NBEN_LNC025151)". The record is from RNAcentral. Lineage: Eukaryota; Viridiplantae; Streptophyta; Magnoliopsida; Solanales; Solanaceae.
CCAAUAUGUUUCCUUUUGAGGAUGCUCAAGUGGGUCACCAUAAACCUCACUUGUACUGGUAAGCAAGAACCUCGCACCAAUCCUCUUUGCAAGGCCCAACAUGUUAAGUGUGCCCAUCACAUUUGUCUUGUAAUCACAGUUAAGGAUCUCAAAUGCAUCCAAAUUCAAUAAAAUAAUCAAAGAACUCUCAUUUCCAUAACAUUUAACUAAUUAUCAUAUUAGUGCACACACUAUAAAAAAAACCAAAGAAGUAUUAUACAUAAAGCUAAUUUUAAACAAUAAGCCAGGUAUUGAUCUACCGCAGACCCCAUUUAUGGGAUCAAACUGGGUUUGUUGUUGUUGUUGACUUCUUGUUGUAAGUCACGUGAUGAUCUAGAAUUUAUAUAACAGUUGAGGGAAGCCCGGUAUACUAAGCCCUCACUUAGGGACGGAGCUAGAAGACAAGGUAUGGGUUCGACCAAGUCGAAUAUCUUUAAUACAAACCCCAUAUUUGUAUUAAGAAAUUAAGUAAAUAUGCACAAAUAUUGAAUUCAGAACCCAAUUACUAACACGUGAUGUCACUAUACUAUAACUUUAAACCCAUAAAGUUCAAAUUCUAGCUCCGCCUCUGCUCCUCUACGAGGAGGGGUUGGGGAAGGGGUGGCUUACGUUGAAUAUAUUUUCUGCAGUCUUACUUUGCAUUUAUAUAUAAAAAUAGCAGGAGUGAAGAUGUUGAGAUGAAUGUAUAGGUGUACCAGGAAGAAUAAGAUUAAGAAUGAAGUUAUUCGGGACAAAGCGGGAGUGGCCUCCGUGGAAGACAAGAUGUGUGAGAAGUGUGAGAGACGUGUGAGAGAUUGACCAUGGUGGGUUUGAGGAGAGGUCGAGGCAGACGAAGUGCUGGGUAUGUUGUUUUGUUGUUGUUACUAUGCAUUUAUGCAGAAGGCUGUUUCCGCUAGCUGAAUCCGUGACCACCUAAUCACACAACCGGCAAUUCUUAGUGUCGCGCCAAACUAAUAUAACAGUUCUAACCGGUAUUCUACAAAUUCAAUAAGCAAAUCAAAGAACACUCAUUUCAAUAACAUUGAACUAAUUAUCAUGUAUGGACACUCAUACACAAAACCAAAAGAGGUGUUUCUACGUAAAGCCGAUAAAUCUGGAUAAUAAGAUAAGAAAUGACGUAGAAAAAGGAUAUAAUAGUUUUGACAGGAUUAUACUUGUAGUGAACAGGAGAAGCAGGGCAAGCCAAGUGAUAAAUCUGAUCUACUUCCAACAAAAUAGGCUCAACAACAUCAUGCCUAAUAAGCUCAAAUCUUGGAUUCCCAAAAUGAUGCAUCACAUUUUCUUUCCUCCCAGUAAAGAAAUUAUCAAUAACAAUAACAUCAUCCCCUCCCUUAAUUAACUUGUCCACUAAAUGACUCCCAACAAAACCAGCCCCACCAGUUACUACUAUCCUCAUCCUUUUCCUCCCAACACCAACUGGUACUCUCCCUUUAAAAAUUGGUCCAUUAUUAUAUGAUGAAAAAGUUGAUAAAGAUUCAUGAUUUAAGGCAUUAUAUGAUCUCGGAAUUGAAGAAUGUGGUUCAGAAGAUGUGCUUAAGAGAGAAAGACUAGGUUGAAAUAUAAAGAAAGUGGAACCAAUGAGAAUACCAAUAAGAAUGAAUAAUAGUCUUUGUUCUUUGAGGAGAUAGUUAAUGGAUCUGGGUAGAGAUCUAGCUGGAUGUUUGAGGGUCUUUGGUGAGUAUGGUAAGCUUAUUUGAGAAUUCGGUAUUUCUUCAUCUCUUCUGCUUGACUGUUUAUGCAAUUUCAUAGCUCUUUUUCUGGAACUGAUAAAAGGGAAUCUGAGAUUUGUAACUGAAGUGUGUGUGUGUGAGAGAGAGAGAGAGAUAUUUGGGGAGCUUAAAGGUGAAAGAAUUGUUUGAUUAAUAAUGUAAAGAAGAUGAAAAUGAUGUUAGAGAUGCUAAUUACCUGGUGUUUGUAGGAUUUGAUUUCAGUGAUGAGAGACAGAGGAGAGAGCAAUCGGUUAAAUGGGCUGGGCUUCUAAUUGGGUACAAAUCC